UCAGAUGAAGACCUCCUAACUUUAUUUGAUAGAAAUCCUAAACUUUUUCAUAAUAAUCUCCUGAAAGUCACUGUAAAGUGGCUUUUUU
Molecule: small RNA, 88 nt
Filed under: Streptococcus anginosus
Lineage: Bacteria; Bacillati; Bacillota; Bacilli; Lactobacillales; Streptococcaceae
Description: Cia-dependent small RNA csRNA1
Rfam family: Cia-dependent small RNA csRNA1
Source: RNAcentral